RNAcentral lists this long non-coding RNA (245 nucleotides) under Homo sapiens (human). RNAcentral describes it as "HSALNT0308301". The record is from RNAcentral. Lineage: Eukaryota; Metazoa; Chordata; Mammalia; Primates; Hominidae.
AGGAUUUUCCCACCUCAACCUCCCAAGCAGCUGGGACUACAGGAUGUGGUCAUGCCUUCGUCCAGAGUAUCCAUGCCAUAUACGAUACCUGCCCACUCGUCACUUUAGUGGCUGUCUUGGUGAUCAGAUUGAUACUCAGUGUACUCAACAAGCAGUAUGGUACCAGCCCCGGCCAAUCAGAACAGACGCCGACCCAUAAGAAAGACCCUGUCCCACCUGCUGAAUGAGUGCGUGCCAGCUGAACA